RNAcentral lists this long non-coding RNA (9504 nucleotides) under Lactuca sativa (garden lettuce). RNAcentral's name for it is "long non-coding RNA (LSAT_LNC009652)". Lineage: Eukaryota; Viridiplantae; Streptophyta; Magnoliopsida; Asterales; Asteraceae. The record is from RNAcentral.
UGCGAAAAUUAUGAGGGGAUGAUAUUAUGCCAUUACACCAGGCCCUUCCCUUUUGUACCUGAAGUACCUGAAACAAUAAACAAAAACUAUAAGCACAAGGUUUAAUGAGUUCCACAAAGUACCACAUACCAAACAUACAAUUGCGCCUAGCCCAAGGGUAUAUUCAAAACAAAUACACAAAUAUGGGCCUAGCCCUAGGGUUUCUUUCAACCCAUCAUAGGACCAACCCCGGGGUCUAUUUCAACCCAGUCAUAAAAUAAUGGCCCAACCCUGGGUUCUAUUUCAACCCAAUCAUACAAACAUGUAAAAGUUAUAUAACAGCUAGCAUCAUACAUAAAUAAUCUGAUGACCCGACAUUGGUGCAUCGUCCCACAAAUACAGUGAGAAGACUCACCUCUAACUGAUGAUAACUAAACCACACACUCGAGCUAAUACUAUCUCGGCUCCCCACACUAAUCAAAACCCAAAGACAAACCUAAUUAAUAAUAAAUAUUGUGUCCGAUAAUAAAUGGUCUUAGUCAUAAUUUAUCUUCCAAGGGUAAAAGAACAUUUUUCUCUUCCCAUGCAUGACCCAAGGUUACAAGGCCCAAAACUCCUAAUGACCAAAAGCCCAAAAAUGGCCCAAGAGCGUCUUAUGGGAGUACGCCAUGCGUACUGCUUUUUACGCUCGUCGCACCACUUCAACUUAGAAGGUUUACGAGGCACAAACCUAGUACGUCUGACGUACUUAGUGUUACGCCCAACAUACCCUUCAGACGUCUAAAAUCCCCAUUAAGGCCUUAUUGUAUUCUGACAUUUUGAUAUUGUAUUUGGUGAUUGACUUGGAGAUAUUUGGUGAAUGAAACUAUUGGUUUUAAAAAUAAAAAAAUUUAUCACUAUUUUUGGGUUGUUACAAGUUGAUAUCAAAGUCUUGGAUUAUUAUAAAAGACUAUUUUGCCCUUCGCAUGUAUGACAGAAGGAUACAAGACCCAACACCCCUAACGACCCAAAGCCCAAAAAUGGCCGAAGAGGGUAUUCUGGGAGAUACACAAAGAUGUAAAGAAUUAAGAUCAAAAAGCUUGAGUGCAACACCACCUCUUCAAGAAUCUUCCUUCACCACCAAGAACACUAAAAGAACACUCAAGAGCUUUAAAACUCACGCACAAGAAUUAGGGUUUGGAGAUGGGGCUAGGAAGGAUGAAGUCUGGAAGCAACAGAGGGUUCAAAGCCAUAAUGUUCUUUAAAUAGGGUCAAAACCCUAAAAAUUAGGGUUUGGAAUCUUUGUAAGUACUCCCUGCGUACUCUUAUGUACGCUCAUCUCAUCGUACACAAUAACAUCCCCUCCGUCCACUUAAUGAACCAUGUUCGGCAUAUCAUAAGGUACGCCCUGCGUAAGGACUAUUUUUGCAAAUAUUUUUAUACUUAUUGUAUGAUGAAAAUAGAAUAACCGCCUAUUUUUUUGUGUUGUGUACUUAGGGGUAUACACUAUACAAUCAACUAUAAAAAAAUUGCUUAUCAAUUUCUAUUUGUAAUAGAUAGAUGGGAUAAGGAUUUGUGUUGAUAACUCUAAAACUGGUCUAGAAAGGAAUUUGAGAAUUCUUAUGAUAUGAAAUCAUAGUCUAAAUAGAAUCAUGAUCUAAAGAUAUCCAUUAACCACACGGUGUUACCAAUUCUAUACUAGUAUUUUAGUCUCCUGACCCAGAAUAAUUUAUAGUCCUCACCGAUGCCUCUUAUGUUUAAUUCCAUCACACUCAUUUGUCACUAGAUUCACCCAUGAUGUCGAACAAAAUUAGGCAGCCGGCCUCAACUUCAAAACCCAAUCUUUGUAGAAGUUCAAUUGUUUGUAUCAGUUCGUUUGACAAUGAAACGCAAUCAGUAUCAGCAUCAUCCUUAUCAUUGGCGUGAGAGUAAUCAAGUUUUCUAUUAAGAUCUAGUUGAGAGGGAUCACCAAGGGGAGAUGACAAGGUUUCGACCAGGGGAUUAGAGUCUGAGUUGGGGAUAGGACGCGACUUCUUAUGAGGGUAAACGAUCGAGGGGAAUCUGUAGUGUCGUGUCCUUUUGGAUUAGGCACAAUACCAAUGGUACCACCUAGGCCUGGCAAUGGGGCGGGUUUUGACCCUGAUCUGAUCCAAACCCUUAACAAUUAUACGAGUUUGGAGCAUAGUUUUUUAUCCAUUUACCCGUUAACGACCCGUACCCGCUAACCAUUUUAUUAAAAGGGUCGGGUAUGGAUCAUCAUCGAUCCGCUCCAUUUAUAACCCGCCCCAUAUAAAUUUUAGAAUUAUACAUUUAUAUUUUAUACUGCCUAAGUUUUACUUUAAAUUCGAAUCGAAAGUCCAAAGACUAAUUUGUUUUUACAUAGGACUAGAUGACUCAACAUCUAGACUUUCAUUCUUCUCCCAAGAAUCAUGAUGUCAUUUCAUUUAUAUUUCAUCAUAUAAUCACCAAUUUUAUUUAUAAAUCAAUAAAUUCAUUUGUCAAUCGGAAGAAAGUUUGUAAUCGUUAUUCUCUAUCAAUGCAAUCGAGGGUCAAAAACCAAUCGGAAGUAACUACAAUAAUGAUUUUAAUUCCAAUCGAAACUCUUCGAGUACAUAAUAUGUUUCUAAAUCAACAUUUGUUCUAUUUAACAAAUGUGAUUUUAUGGUUUAAGUAAAAUGAGUUUGAUUAUUCAAAAAACCUACGGGUUACGGGGCAGGUUUGGAUAUCUGCUGAUUCGGUGGAUAAGGGUAUGAGUUUGAUUAUUUAAAAUUCUGCGGGUUACGGAACGGGUUUGGAUUGGGUUUUGAAAUUUGUUAAAAGAGUUUGGAUUAAGGUCGAUUCGUUCUAAACCCGCCCGAUUGCCAGGUCUAGCACCACCUGAUUUGUCUAUGUUCUGGAUCGACACUAGACCAUCGGGGUUUAAAUUAGGUCUUACCCCAACUAUGAAGGGAAACGGCCCAAAACACGUCUUAGCCACUAAGUUUUUAAAAUAUCCAUUGGACUCCUGUUGUUGGUCAACAUUCGGGGCACCAUCUCCUUUAUUAACUGAUCAGGUUGAGCAUGGGUUUCUUGGAAACUACGAUCUACGUGAUUAUCAAAGCAGGGGUUGUAGACCGACUUAUGGAUUCUGGAAGCGGCAAUUCACUAACCUUCUCAUCCGGCUGAACGACUGUCAAAUACGAUGGCGGGGGUGCGAAGAUGGAGGUUGCGAAGUCGGAAAAGGCUCCAGAGGAUGAUCUUCAAUUUUGCCAUCAUAGUCUUUAGCGACCCCGCCCACCCUCUGGUCAAUUUCCCCACCCUCAAGGUCAUCCCCUUCAAUAUUAAUGAACUUCUCAGAGAUACCGUCUUUAUUCUCAUCAAAAAUUCCUUCAUUCUGUUCACAUUGAUUGAAAAUUAAAAAGGGAGCCAUGCAUGAUCUUCAAACUCAACAAUGGGAAUUUUGAAUGAUUUUCCCUCCACCGCGACUUCUAAUUCUUUAUUAACUUUUAACUUAGAUUUCAUGACUAUUCCAAUCUUUAUGCAAGAAAUGUUGCUACCAUAUUUUCUUAGAAUGAUAGAGAAUUUUUCUUCACCCCAUAAGUAUAUUAGUAGACCAACUAUUCUAACCCAUGCCACACGAUAUUCAUUCUUUUCCUCUACCUCGCUGUACCUAAGCCAUGUGAAGAACCCUGUCCAAUUGUAGUUCUUUUGAGGAACAACAUCAAGCUUCAACGGAGAGUCUUUGCUUAGGAAUGCCACAUGGGGAGGUUGACGGACGGAUGAUUGAGGCCUUGCUACUUCUGCAUAUGAGCAGCUCCAUAUCAUCACUUCCUUUAAACCUAAUGAAUCCGUAGUAUUUCCCAAUUCUUCUCCUUUUGUAAUGCAGAUAUACGUCUGCAACCUUACUCUAUGCUUCAAAUAUCCUUCUGAUUGUGAAUUUUCAGGCCUCCAGUGGUAUAUUAGUGACAAAGAAUGAAGUUAUUCCAUCCACGUGGGAUUUGGUUCUCCAUCUUGCUUUCCUCUGAUGUAUCUCCGUCCAUUUCCCAUCGUCGUCACUGUUCAUCUCCUCUUAACAGACAAAGUCGAAUAAUUUAUCUAGUGACUAGAAUUUGUAUGCUAAUUACAAAUGAUUUACAAUUUAACAUGAUACAAUUUAAAUGAUCUUUUCUCGCGUGUGUCGGUAACAAGUUAAUGAUAUAAUAUAUAAUGGACUUGCACAAUUUUUCAAGAAACCAAAUUCCAUCUCCAAUAUCCUCAAUCGGACACUCGAGUACAUUCCACAAUCUAGACUCCUUAAUUAAGGUACGUAGGGUCAGUAGAGAAGCUUGCAUUUGUUACCUGACUUUCUGCCUAAUAUUUAGAUCUACGACUCAUGCAUGAUCUAGAACACAGUACAAAUGAGGAUGAAACUAAUUUCUAUACAACAGUACAUUAUCAGUUACCCUAUAAGAAUUUCUCUUGCGAGAAGAAUUACUCUUGUCUGAAGAAUGUCUUGUUACAUCAAACUUGUAUUUAGUAAUUUUAAUUAAGUUCUUAAGAAUGCUUACUCUAUAAUAAAAGAGUAAAUUUAUGUCAUAUGUCAUCUUAGAAUGCUUCUUUGAGAGUAUUUUCUAGUCUAUUGUAUAGCUAUGUCUAUUUGCCUAGUUCCCCUUCCAUUCCUUAACAUCGACAUUUUUAAAAUUUGAAAUUAAAAUCAAUAGCUUUAUUACAUGGAUUAAAUGUCUAGCAGUUUGGAAAUUUCAUACAAUAAUAUUCAACAAAUCAACACGUCUUCCGCUUCCUGAAUUUCAUCGGAUUUAAUUAGGCAACACCUCAUUCUAGAAAGUCAUCCUCUCCGAUCUUGAAAUCAAUCUUUAUCCUAUAAAACUUAAGAAGACUUUUGUUGAGUUGUCGAAAGCUCUGCAAUUCAAGGUCGCAUAGUAUGUCUAAUUCGAUGCUAUUUGCAAAGAAUAUCAUAUGAUAGGGGUUGUUUUCUGGCGUGUCAUUCGUUUCGGAAUGGCUUUUCGUUGGGCUGUCGUUACGAGUUUUUGUUUGUUUAUUUACCGUGUAACGACUCGAAUUGUCUACAAUUAAUUAUCUAGGGACUAUCAGAGUUAUUUCUAAAAAUUUAUAGAAUUAUAUUAACUCAUAAAAAUAAAACAUUUUACAUCUCAAACAAUAUUGAAGGUUUACAAUAAAAUCAUGCAUAUAAAUUAAAGCAACAAGGAAAAAUAUAUACAUUACACAACAAUGUUUGUCGAGUUAUAUUUUUCUAUUUUCAUGUUAUUCUACUCUUCUUCUAACUUAAUUAUUUUUUUCACAAACUCUAACUUUCUUUUCUUCUUCAAUUUCAUACUCUACAUGCAAUUUAAUCUCUUCUUUUGAUAGCAUACUAUGCUAUACUAUGCUAUUCUUUCUCAUUCUAUCUAUAUCUUCUAGAUUUUCUCAUGACUUCUCAUUUCAUCAAUCUUAUACUCUACCUUCUACUCUUGUUGUCUUUUUUUCUAAUAUUUUAUCCUCGUAUCGUACUCUCUCUUAGCCUCUUCUCAAGUUCGUCUCAUACUUUAUCUUCUUUUUCCUUAUCACUCUCAUACUCUUCUUUUUGCAUCUCUUUUCUUGUCCCUUACACUUAUCUCAUCUUAUAUUCUGCGUGUUCUUCUCAUACUUUAUGCAUGCUAUUUCCAGACCUCUUACUCAUAGCAUGACUUCUCAUACUCUUCUCAUACUUACCUCUAUAUUCUCAACUUUUCAUACCUUAACGUUCUAAUCUCAACUAGACUCACUGGCCCAAUCUCGUACUUUACUCUCAUCUAUCGUCUAAAGGAAACACCUUCCCACUAAUGAUAUCGGGUACACUCAUCUAAUGUAAUCUCCUUCCUUAGAUCCCUCGUGGAUCCUUAACCAUUCUUUAUCUCUUGAAUCCCCUAUGAUUCCUUACUCUUAAUCCCUCACAGAUUAUAUCUAAGUUCUCUUGAAAAAAUCUCUAUAUAUAUCCCCAUUAAGAAAAACAUUAGAAAACAAACAUCAUAUGACAAUAUCUGGUUUUGGGAAGUCAUUCCCAAAACUUUCACUAAGGCUAUGUUUGGUGCGUCACAGCUGACUAAUAAGCUAGCUUAUUUUUUGAGCUUUUUUAUGUUGUCGUGUUUGGUAAGCCAAAAAGUAGCUUAUUAGCUAGCUUAUAAGCUAGCGUUUUGAAAAGCUACUUAGACUAGCUUUUUAGGAGUUUUUUUAAAAUUUUCCAAAUACACCCCUUAAUUAAUUAUAGAAACACAUAUUCUUAUAUGUCAUUUUAUUUAAUUUUAUAUAUUUUAGCUAGCUUUUCAGCUAAUUUUACCAAACGUUAAUUUUUUAUCAGCUAGCUUUUCAUCUAUCAGCUAGUUUUUUAUUUAACAGCUAGCUUUUUAGCUAGUACGCCAAACAUAACCUAACUUUAUUAAGAUCCCCUUGGAUAAAUCUGUCAUUGUGUAGACCACUUAACUUAGCACUCCGUGUGCAUCCAUUCAGCAACUACUUGAUAACCAUAAACAUGUUUUACAGUGAAAUAAUAAAUCUAAUUAAAAAAACAUAUUUAUUAAUGUGAUAAUAGGAUAAGUGAUUAUACUUUUUGGCUAGUGUCAGCCCGAUUGUCCCAGUCCUACAAAAGAGAUCUAGAACUUUUUCUGAAACAUCUACUUUUAAACCAGCACAAUCUUCUACUAACUUGUAAAGAAUUUCAGCUAGAUGUUCAUUCGUUUGGUAGAAUGAGUUUGCUGAAAUUUCAAAUGAUAAUCCUCUUAACAUUUCAUCGAUAGUAGCUUUCCCGUUUAUAGUGUACUCUUUCUUUGUCACAUAUGUGUUUCCAACUAACGUGUUCACAUUAUUCAUGAUGUUUACCUUAAAAAUAUAUUAAAAAAAAGUAUAAUAAGUAUGUAAUAAAUUUGCAUACCACUUCUGGAAAACUGAUAGUUUGUCAACAAGGGGAUUUAAAAGCUCGGGUUUGUAGGAAGAUGUCGUAAAAUUAACCAUUAGUUGAGGGAGUCUAGUGUCAACAUCUUUGUGAAAAGUUAUGGAGUUGUAAUUAAUGUAUAUUAGUAUUAGACUAAUAAUCUUUAAUAAUUUAGUAAUAAUUUCAUGAAAAUAUGAAGGGAAAAAAAAGUGGUACCUUCCACUUUUUAUCAUGAGGUGAUUCAUAAAUCCAUCAUGAGAGUGGCAAUCAUAUGGUGAGAGUCUAACUUCAUGAUUCCUCCAACAAUCUUGAACGACUGCAAGAACAUAUACAAUUCAAAUGCAAAUUAAAAAGAGGCAUGCUAUCAUCUUCAUCUUUCAUAAUUACCAAAGAUGAAAUUCUUAUAAUUCUAUCCACUAAAAAUUAAUAACAAUGGUUCCAUGAUCGAAAGUACCUUACCUUAUUCGCAACUUCACUUUGUAAAAAGCACUUGUCGACAUUUAACACUUUAUCAAAAAAAAAAAAAAAAACAAAAACAAAGACACUAGCAAUUGCUCUUUGGGCUUACAGGAGCAUGUAAGCCUAAAGCAUAGACAUUAGCAAUUGCUCUUUGGGUAACCAUCUUUUUGGGCCAAAGGAAAAUUUCAUUUGAUAAAUAGAGAUUGAGAUUUAAACAAGAAGAAAGACACAAAUAAAUACAUAAACAAAUGGGAUUUACUGACCUUGUUUCUGUAGUCAUUGCUACACUAAUUGGUAUUUUUUUUUUUGAAGACUAUGUUGCAAUAAGAACAUAAAGUAAGAUUUACAUGGGUGUAAAACCAUCUUACAUGUACCAUAAUAAAAACUUGCUACAUUUGAUAAGCAUAAACUCAAUAGAACUCUUUUAUAUGAAAUUCUAAAUGAAGUUUAUACCAAUCAAUGAGGAUGAUGGGUUGACAUCAUCUCAUACUGAGACAUCAAAUCCAAAUAUUGGUCCUCAAUUAUAGGAAACCCCUAGAUAUAAUCUUCAAAAACCAAAACCGAAGUGAUCCUCUUAGAACUUUCAUCAGUCACCAAUCGUCAAACAAAUGUCUCGAUUAAGAAAUUAACACUAAUUACUAUGAUCUAUGUCAUGACCUAAAUAGUAAAAACAAAAGAAAAUCAUGAAAACCUCCGAAGCUACUUGCAAUAAAAACAAUAUGCUACUAACCUGGUCAAAAUCCUUUAAAAUGUAGCAAAAAAGGGAAAACCGAAAAAAAAAAUCAGGAAGUUGUAAAAAUAUCAAAAUUUUAAGCCUGUGAAUCAGAAUCUUGGUAUUUUAGACAAAAACUAGUUCUUAGAAAACUAAACAGUAAAUUAAAUUUGUAUAAAUUCUCAUUUUAAAAUCUUUAUAUUCAAAGUUUUUAUUCUAUGCCCAUCUUGAUUAACAACAACACUUAGAGAGUAUACAUGCUUCUUUCCAAUAUAAUAUUUGUUUUUCUUUUGUCAUUACUUUCUUUAAUAGCAGCAUGCUCGAGGAAUUAGCUCAACUUGCCUAAGACCACCAAGAAGACAGUCAAGAAGAUUCAUAUAUUUAGUGAUGUGAUACAAAUGAUGGAAAAAACAGAAAUUAAAGUAUAAUACCUAUAAGAAGAAAUCCAUAUGCCAUUGUUGCCUAAGAAGGAUCCUGCACAUAUUUUAAAAAUUGGAAAUGCUUGACUUUUAUGGUAAAAAUGCACAUAAUCAAACUCUACUGGUUUCAAAAAGAUCGUGUACGUAAAAUUAUAGAUGACCCGAUAGAUUUGAGUGAUGUUAUUCUUACCUUCUCAACAUUUUUUAAUCAAUACAUAUUCUUUGCUAAAUUUGAUUAAAAAUAACAAAAGAUACAAUCAUAUUAACUUCUCAACAUAGGUUCGAACCAUAUCUUCAACGAAAAUAAAUAUAAAAGAGGCAUAACAAUAAAACAUUUUAACUAAUAUAUGAUAUAAAGAAUAAAGAAAGACUACUACCCACCAUAUAUAUUUCAUAUUUCAUUCAAUCAUUUUAGCAAACACUUGGUGGGCAAGAGAUGCAACAUUAUAUCCAAGCACUUCUCCAGCACUAAAGCCGUAAAAAAAUUCUAUCAAAUUUGAAAAGUGUUGUUUUGGAAUACAUUCAAGUAAGCCAUAUGGAAAAACAACAUGUGACAACAGGAAGUAGAAAAAAGAAAUAGAAGAAGCAGCAAGUCACAAUAAUAAGUUAAAAUUCUCGAGUAUGACUUAAUAAUUGCACAAAAAAAAACUUCAUUGUAGAAAUCAAUAACAUCAAUAUCAAGUAUCUCUUACCUGGUGGAAUCAUCUAUUGAUUAUGCUUUUGACAUCUCAUCUAUUGAUGAUGCUUUUGACAUCUCAAGUUAGCUGCUACUUCAUCUCGUCGAACUCUAUUUUGAUCUGUCUCGAUAUCGUUGUCCCAAUAAAGCUCACCUUCUGUCUAUAUCAUUCUCAUUCUUCCAUGAUCAAACACAAGACUGAUCACACACAUCGAUGCUCAUAAGUUUUCUAUUUCUUCUUUCCCCUAUUUUUUUCUCCUGUACAAACACUUAGGCUAGACGGAGCCAGUAUGGCAAGGAGGGGCGGGGCCUUUCCCCCUCCAAUGAACACCGCAUCGGCGGUGCGGGAAGGGUUACGCGGGGAGGAAGUGGGGUGGGGUGGCCGCGUUCUUGCUCC